This 698-nucleotide ribosomal RNA is filed under the name uncultured cyanobacterium. Its description in RNAcentral is "partial 16S ribosomal RNA". The record is from RNAcentral. Lineage: Bacteria; Bacillati; Cyanobacteriota.
GACACGAGCUGACGACAGCCAUGCACCACCUGUGUUCACGCUCCCGAAGGCACUCCUAUGUUUCCACAGAAUUCGUGACAUGUCAAGCCUUGGUAAGGUUCUUCGCGUUGCAUCGAAUUAAACCACAUACUCCACCGCUUGUGCGGGCCCCCGUCAAUUCCUUUGAGUUUCACAGUUGCCUGCGUACUCCCCAGGCGGGAUACUUAACGCGUUAGCUCCGGCACAGCUCGGGUCGAUACGAGCUACGCCUAGUAUCCAUCGUUUACGGCUAGGACUACUGGGGUAUCUAAUCCCAUUCGCUCCCCUAGCUUUCGUCCCUCAGUGUCAGUCUCGGCCUAGCAGAGCGCCUUCGCCACUGGUGUUCUUCCUGAUAUCUACGCAUUUCACCGCUACACCAGGAAUUCCCUCUGCCCCGACCAAACUCUAGCUUUGUAGUUUCCACUGCUUUUAUUUGGUUGAGCCAAACUCUUUAACAGCAGACUUACAAUGCCACCUGCGGACCCUUUACGCCCAAUCAUUCCGGAUAACGCUUGCAUCCUCCGUAUUACCGCGGCUGCUGGCACGGAGUUAGCCGAUGCUUAUUCCUCAGGUACCGUCAUUUUUUUCUUCCCUGAGAAAAGAGGUUUACAACCCAAGAGCCUUCCUCCCUCACGCGGUAUUGCUCCGUCAGGCUUUCGCCCAUUGCGGAAAAUUCCCCA